Non-coding RNA from Microcebus murinus (gray mouse lemur), 1907 nucleotides. The record is from RefSeq and is a predicted model, not a curated record. NCBI's taxonomy places the organism in Eukaryota, Metazoa, Chordata, Mammalia, Primates, Cheirogaleidae.
GGGUAGAAGGCCAUUUAGAUUACUAAUCAAGAGGCUAUAGUGGUUUGUGCUCAUUUGUCUAUUCCCUCUUACAGAUUUAAAAAGAAAAAAAAAAGUAGUGUUUCAUACAUAGUAGUUAGUGUUCAGGAAAUUAUUGGUUGAUUUCAAAUGUCAAGGGUCAAUUAUAACUGAAGAGAGAGACUUACAGAAUGACAAUAUCCUAGAUUUAUAGAAAGAGAAUGUUGAAAGUGGGGCUUAUUCCUUUUGGUCUAGGGCACAGAAGAGCUAGAGGAGAGACCAAGAGACUAUAUGGCUAUAUAUAGGAGAAAAUGUGCCAAAUGAACUAACUGGCUUAUUCCCAACAGUUCUUUAUAGCCUACCUAAUAAAAGCAGCUAGAUUUUCUAUCAUAAAGUUUAUGUACAAAAAAUCUUUUUUGGAGAGGAGUUAAUUUUAGGGUGGGAGUAGGAAAAUAGACGCGAGAGCUGUUAGUAAUCAUUCCUCUUCUCUUUCCUAGUUCAUUUUAUCUAUGGGCCAUUGGAUCCUGUUAAUCCCUAUCCAGAGUUUUUGGAGCUAUACAGGAAAACGCUGCCGCGGUCCACAGUGUCGAUUCUGGAUGACCACAUUAGCCACUAUCCACAGCUAGAGGAUCCCAUGGGCUUCUUGAAUGCAUAUAUGGGCUUCAUCAACUCCUUCUGAGCUGGAAAGAGUAGCUUCCCUGUAUUACCUCCCCUACUCCCUUAUCUGUUGUAUAUUCCACUUAGAAAAAAAUGCCCAAAAGAGGUCCUGGCCAUCAAACACUAUUCUCUCAAAGAAGUCCACGUUACUCACAUUGGUGAACAGUAUAUAGGAAAAGGCCAGCAGGAGCUCCGACUAAGGGUUAACAUAGUAGUUUGCCUCCCAUUCCUUUGACAUUCUGAUCAAAAGUGGAUGGAUUUGACUUUGUCUUUGUGUUAUUAGGAAAUUCUGAUGAGCACUACUCACUGAUGCAGAAAGACAGUCGUUUGCAUAAAAGACUUCUUAACACUUCUUUGGGCUUUUCUCAAACAUUUAGAAGUGCUAAUUUCUGGCCCAGCCCCACUGGAAUCCUCAAGUAAAAAAUAAGAGGACCUCCUUACUUCUCUCCUUGAAUGGCUUUAAGGGCACAAACUUUUUCAAAGUUCUCUAAGCAACACAGCAUCAAGUGAGAGUGAGUCUCCUUUAUCAUAACUGUGGAUUUAGUUUCAUCAUCUGCUUCUAAUCACAGAUUUGUUAACAUAGAUAUUGGUUUAAAUAAUGCAGUAUUCUAAGUAUACUUUAAGACUGUGAUUUACCUAUACAUAUAUGUAUUUUAUAAGGAUACUAAACCAGCAGACCCUUAUUCUGCCAAAGUAGUGAACCUUAUUAAACUUGUGUAAUUUUUGAAUUGAACUAAAUCCAAACUAUUUACAGAAUUUCCUAAAAUCACAGGACAUUAAGGACCAAUAGCAUCUGUGCCAGAGAUUGACUGUUCUCAGUUGGAAAGACCAAGUCAUAAAAGCAAACAUCAUUCUGACUUCUCAUACCUCGGUUAUUAGAAGGAUGUCUCUCCUGAGCUAAAUUGAGGGGAAGGGAUCAUUGUGUAGUCUAAGUUACCAUGCUGAAGGUACAUGGAUUCCUUUCAUCAUGAUUGCUUAACUUCCCGUUGGCUGUCCCAGAGAGGCCUUCUCAUGUAGCUCAGCAAUUCCUGUACCUUAUAGACAGGAAAGUUCUGGAAGCUUUAAGAACAAAUUCUGAAAGACCUAUGAACAGUGGUGCUGAAUACUUUUUUUUAAGCCACAUUUCAUUGUCUUAGUUAAAGCAGGAUUAAGUGAUUAUUUUAAAUUCAUUUUUUAUUAGCAUCUUCAAGCAUAACAACUUUUAAACUGGAAUAAGUGUUUAUUUUCUAUUAAUAAAAUGAAUUGUGACAAAA